UCGGGACUCGUCCAACUGGCAGGACGCCGGACUCUGACUCCGUCAAUGAAGGUUCGACUCCUUCGUCCCGAAC
Molecule: transfer RNA, 73 nt
Filed under: Firmicutes bacterium ADurb.Bin506
Lineage: Bacteria; Bacillati; Bacillota
Description: tRNA-Gln
Rfam family: tRNA
About the family: Transfer RNA (tRNA) molecules are approximately 80 nucleotides in length. Their secondary structure includes four short double-helical elements and three loops (D, anti-codon, and T loops).
Source: RNAcentral